UACACACCGCCCGUCACAUCACGAAAGUAGGUUGUACUAGAAGUAGGAGGGCUAACCCGCAAGGGAGGCAUCUUACCACGGUAUGAUUUAUGAUUGGGGUG
RNAcentral lists this ribosomal RNA (101 nucleotides) under uncultured bacterium. RNAcentral describes it as "partial 16S ribosomal RNA". It matches the Rfam family "Bacterial small subunit ribosomal RNA", at positions 1384 to 1482 of the family's 1533-position model. The record is from RNAcentral.